UCUGGGAUUAGAUACCCUGUUAUUAAAAAUGUAAAUUAUAAUCUAAGGUAGUAACAGUUAUGUUCUUUAAACUUAAAAAAUUUGGCGGUAUUUUAGUCUAUUCAGAGGAACUUGUUCUAUAAUCGAUAAUCCCCGAUGGACCUUACUUAAAUUUGUAAUCAGUUUAUAUACCGUCGUUAUUAGAAAAUUUUACUAGAAAGUUAAUUUUCAUAAUUUUUUAUAAAAAAAUAUAUCAGAUCAAGGUGUAGCUAAUAUUUAAGUAGAAAUGAGUUACAAUAAAAUUAUUUAAAUGAAUAUAAAUUUUAAAGGUUUAUUGAAAGUGGAUUUGAUAGUAAAAUUAUAAAGAUAAAUAAUUUGAUUUUAGCCCUAAAAUAUGUACAAAUCGCCCGUCACUCUCUGA
This 400-nucleotide ribosomal RNA is filed under the name Phyto anatolica. Its description in RNAcentral is "partial small subunit ribosomal RNA". Lineage: Eukaryota; Metazoa; Arthropoda; Insecta; Diptera; Rhinophoridae. The record is from RNAcentral.